This 1372-nucleotide ribosomal RNA is filed under the name uncultured bacterium. RNAcentral describes it as "bacterial SSU rRNA". It matches the Rfam family "Bacterial small subunit ribosomal RNA", at positions 28 to 1381 of the family's 1533-position model. The record is from RNAcentral.
GAUGAACGCUGGCGGCGUGCCUAAUACAUGCAAGUCGAGCGAACGGACGAGAAGCUUGCUUCUCUGAUGUUAGCGGCGGACGGGUGAGUAACACGUGGAUAACCUACCUAUAAGACUGGGAUAACUUCGGGAAACCGGAGCUAAUACCGGAUAAUAUUUUGAACCGCAUGGUUCAAAAGUGAAAGACGGUCUUGCUGUCACUUAUAGAUGGAUCCGCGCUGCAUUAGCUAGUUGGUAAGGUAACGGCUUACCAAGGCAACGAUGCAUAGCCGACCUGAGAGGGUGAUCGGCCACACUGGAACUGAGACGCGGUCCAGACUCCUACGGGAGGCAGCAGUAGGGAAUCUUCCGCAAUGGGCGAAAGCCUGACGGAGCAACGCCGCGUGAGUGAUGAAGGUCUUCGGAUCGUAAAACUCUGUUAUUAGGGAAGAACAUAUGUGUAAGUAACUGUGCACAUCUUGACGGUACCUAAUCAGAAAGCCACGGCUAACUACGUGCCAGCAGCCGCGGUAAUACGUAGGUGGCAAGCGUUAUCCGGAAUUAUUGGGCGUAAAGCGCGCGUAGGCGGUUUUUUAAGUCUGAUGUGAAAGCCCACGGCUCAACCGUGGAGGGUCAUUGGAAACUGGAAAACUUGAGUGCAGAAGAGGAAAGUGGAAUUCCAUGUGUAGCGGUGAAAUGCGCAGAGAUAUGGAGGAACACCAGUGGCGAAGGCGACUUUCUGGUCUGUAACUGACGCUGAUGUGCGAAAGCGUGGGGAUCAAACAGGAUUAGAUACCCUGGUAGUCCACGCCGUAAACGAUGAGUGCUAAGUGUUAGGGGGUUUCCGCCCCUUAGUGCUGCAGCUAACGCAUUAAGCACUCCGCCUGGGGAGUACGACCGCAAGGUUGAAACUCAAAGGAAUUGACGGGGACCCGCACAAGCGGUGGAGCAUGUGGUUUAAUUCGAAGCAACGCGAAGAACCUUACCAAAUCUUGACAUCCUUUGACAACUCUAGAGAUAGAGCUUUCCCCUUCGGGGGACAAAGUGACAGGUGGUGCAUGGUUGUCGUCAGCUCGUGUCGUGAGAUGUUGGGUUAAGUCCCGCAACGAGCGCAACCCUUAAGCUUAGUUGCCAUCAUUAAGUUGGGCACUCUAAGUUGACUGCCGGUAACAAACCGGAGGAAGGUGGGGAUGACGUCAAAUCAUCAUGCCCCUUAUGAUUUGGGCUACACACGUGCUACAAUGGACAAUACAAAGGGCAGCGAAACCGUGAGGUCAAGCAAAUCCCAUAAAGUUGUUCUCAGUUCGGAUUGUAGUCUGCAACUCGACUACAUGAAGCUGGAAUCGCUAGUAAUCGUAGAUCAGCAUGCUACGGUGAAUACGUUCCCGGGUCU